CUUGGUAAUAGAAAAGGGUUUUUCAUUUCCCAUUUUUUGAAAGCCAUCUUCCUCUGGAUUUCUGGGCGAG
Unclassified non-coding RNA from Carlito syrichta (Philippine tarsier), 70 nucleotides. The record is from Ensembl. Lineage: Eukaryota; Metazoa; Chordata; Mammalia; Primates; Tarsiidae.